This 398-nucleotide ribosomal RNA is filed under the name uncultured bacterium. Its description in RNAcentral is "bacterial SSU rRNA". It matches the Rfam family "Bacterial small subunit ribosomal RNA", at positions 28 to 429 of the family's 1533-position model. The record is from RNAcentral.
AUUGAACGCUGGCGGCAUGCUUUACACAUGCAAGUCGAACGGCAGCGGGGGCUUCGGCCUGCCGGCGAGUGGCGAACGGGUGAGUAAUGCAUCGGAACGUGCCCAUGUCGUGGGGGAUAACGUAGCGAAAGCUACGCUAAUACCGCAUACGUCCUGAGGGAGAAAGCGGGGGAUCUUUGGACCUCGCGCGAUUGGAGCGGCCGAUGUCGGAUUAGCUAGUAGGUGAGGUAAAGGCUCACCUAGGCGACGAUCCGUAGCGGGUCUGAGAGGAUGAUCCGCCACACUGGGACUGAGACACGGCCCAGACUCCUACGGGAGGCAGCAGUGGGGAAUUUUGGACAAUGGGGGCAACCCUGAUCCAGCCAUGCCGCGUGAGUGAAGAAGGCCUCGGUUGUAAG